This 355-nucleotide ribosomal RNA is filed under the name uncultured Rhodanobacter sp. RNAcentral describes it as "bacterial SSU rRNA". It matches the Rfam family "Bacterial small subunit ribosomal RNA", at positions 1027 to 1382 of the family's 1533-position model. Lineage: Bacteria; Pseudomonadati; Pseudomonadota; Gammaproteobacteria; Lysobacterales; Rhodanobacteraceae. The record is from RNAcentral.
GAGGAGGACAGGUGGUGGCGAUGGUUGUCGUCAGCUCGUGUCGUGAGAUGUGGUUAAGUCCGCAACGAGCGCAACCCUCGUCGGUAUGUUGCCAGCAGUUCGGCUGGGCACUCAUACCAGACUGCCGCAGCAAUGUGGAGGAAGGUGGGGAUGACGUCAAGUCAGCAUGCCCCGUACGCCCUGGGCUACACACAUACUACAAUGCAGAGUGCAGACGGAUGCCAAGCCGUGAGGUGGAGCUAAUCCGCGAAGGCUCUGCUCAGUGCAGAUUGCAGGCUGCAACUCGCCUGCAUGAAGGCGGAAUCGCUAGUAACCGUCGGUCAGCAUUACGACGGUGAAUACGUUCCCGGGCCUU